AGGGAAUCUUCCACAAUGGUCGGUAGUCUGAUGGAGCAACGCCGCGUGAGUGUUGAAGGUUUUCGGAUCGUUAAACUCUGUUUUAAGGGAAGAACCAGUACGUCACGCAAUGGACGUACCUUGUCGUUACCUUAGUAGAAAACGACGGGUCACUACGUGACAGCAGCCGCGGUAAUACGUAGGUGGCAAGCGUUGUCCGGAAUUAUUGGGCGUAAAGCGCGCGCAGGUGGUUUCUUAAGUCUGAUGUGAAAGCCCACGGCUUAACCGUGGAGGGUCAUUGGAAACUGGGAGACUUGAGUGCAGAAGAGGAAAGUGGAAUUCCAAGUGUAGCGGUGAAAUGCGUAGAGAUUUGGAGGAACACCAGUGGCGAAGGCGACUUUCUGGUCUGCAACUGACGCUGAGGCGCGAAAGCAUGGGGAGCAAACA
RNAcentral lists this ribosomal RNA (426 nucleotides) under uncultured Caryophanaceae bacterium. RNAcentral describes it as "bacterial SSU rRNA". It matches the Rfam family "Bacterial small subunit ribosomal RNA", at positions 356 to 774 of the family's 1533-position model. Lineage: Bacteria; Bacillati; Bacillota; Bacilli; Caryophanales; Caryophanaceae. The record is from RNAcentral.